UAGAUUCUUCACUAAAUUGAAACUCAUUAUCCUUAAAACCACUCUCACUUGCAACAUGAUCCUCAUCAUUACCUUCUUGCGUAGUUUCAUUCUUAACAUCAACAUUAGAAUCAUUAGUCACUUCUUCAGCAACAAUAUUAGGAUCAGUAGUAACUUCUUCAGCAACACCAUUAGGUGUUUCUUCAUCAUCAACCUCAAUGUUAGCAUCUAAUUCAC
This 216-nucleotide long non-coding RNA is filed under the name Lathyrus oleraceus (garden pea). RNAcentral describes it as "Pisum sativum (pea) long non-coding RNA (PSAT_LNC035375)". The record is from RNAcentral. Lineage: Eukaryota; Viridiplantae; Streptophyta; Magnoliopsida; Fabales; Fabaceae.